ACCAUCAACUAUGUAAAGGAGAUCUAGGGAACACCGUCUUGAACCCGCCAGGGGUUUUGAGUCUCGGACCCAGGAGAUCCAACCCUGACCACCCUCCCAGGAUGCAGCAGGGGGAUGUUAAAUCAGACUUCAGGAAGAACUUCCUUGCUGCCUGAGUUAGGUGUCGUCACGCCUGCCCAGGGCUUCUCCCUUCUCGCUGCCUUGCGGGGUGGGGAAACGUGGAAGGAAUUCUGGGAAAACCAGAUGUCUGGGUUCUCUAUUCCCGUCUGGCUUGAUUCUGGACAAGGGGCUUCCUCUCCAGGGCCUCGGUUUCCCCAUCUUUAAAAUGGAGUGAUAGCAUAGACCUGCCCACCUUUCAGAGGUGCCCGAAGCCUUGACGAGAUAACAGAUGAGAAGUGGUUUUCGUUGUGAUGAGCCAGCUGAAGCGGUUGCACCGAAGGAGCGCCAGACCGUCAGCGGUGCAGUGGCUCUCGCGUCCUUCACAUCCCCCCACACCCAUCCCGUGGAUGAUGGGGGAAGGCGCUACUCCUGGGGUUCCCCGAAGCGGAUCCUGGGACUGGGACCUGGGGACGCGGUGAGAGGCAGCCCUGAAGCUGAGUCCAGAGGUCUGGGGCGUCAUUGUCCCAGGGCGGACCCAGCCCCAGACCCUACAACUAAACCCAAGGCCAGCCGAGAAGCACUACCCCUGGCGGGCUGAGCUGAGCUCUCAUUCUUCUUAGGACUCUGGACCUUUGGAGGAAAUGAAAGGGACCCAGUUGGAAAUAUAGUCUUUCUUCGCGCCCCCUACAUCUCUCUCCCCCUGCGGAAACGCGGCC
RNAcentral lists this small RNA (815 nucleotides) under Pan troglodytes (chimpanzee). RNAcentral's name for it is "processed transcript". The record is from RNAcentral. Lineage: Eukaryota; Metazoa; Chordata; Mammalia; Primates; Hominidae.